Molecule: ribosomal RNA, 253 nt
Filed under: uncultured bacterium
Lineage: Bacteria
Description: partial 16S ribosomal RNA
Rfam family: Bacterial small subunit ribosomal RNA
Source: RNAcentral
UACGAAGGGGGCGAGCGUUGUUCGGAAUUAUUGGGCGUAAAGAGCUCGUAGGCGGUUCGUCGCGUCGGCUGUGAAAUCCCGAGGCUCAACCUCGGGUCUGCAGUCGAUACGGGCGGACUGGAGUUCGGCAGGGGAGACUGGAAUUCCUGGUGUAGCGGUGAAAUGCGCAGAUAUCAGGAGGAACACCGGUGGCGAAGGCGGGUCUCUGGGCCGAUACUGACGCUGAGGAGCGAAAGCGUGGGGAGCGAACAGG